GACGAACGCUGGCGGCGUGCCUAAUACAUGCAAGUUGAGCGCUGAAGGUUGGUACUUGUACCAACUGGAUGAGCAGCGAACGGGUGAGUAACGCGUGGGGAAUCUGCCUUUGAGCGGGGGACAACAUUUGGAAACGAAUGCUAAUACCGCAUAAAAACUUUAAACACAAGUUUUAAGUUUGAAAGAUGCAAUUGCAUCACUCAAAGAUGAUCCCGCGUUGUAUUAGCUAGUUGGUGAGGUAAAGGUUCACCAAGGCGAUGAUACAUAGCCGACCUGAGAGGGUGAGCGGCCACAUUGGGACUGAGACACGGCCCAAACUCCUACGGGAGGCAGCAGUAGGGAAUCUUCGGCAAUGGACGAAAGUCUGACCGAGCAACGCCGCGUGAGUGAAGAAGGUUUUCGGAUCGUAAAACUCUGUUGGUAGAGAAGAACGUUGGUGAGAGUGGAAAGCUCAUCAAGUGACGGUAACUACCCAGAAAGGGACGGCUAACUACGUG
This 497-nucleotide ribosomal RNA is filed under the name uncultured bacterium. Its description in RNAcentral is "partial 16S ribosomal RNA". It matches the Rfam family "Bacterial small subunit ribosomal RNA", at positions 28 to 507 of the family's 1533-position model. The record is from RNAcentral.